This 86-nucleotide ribosomal RNA is filed under the name Shewanella putrefaciens. RNAcentral describes it as "partial 16S ribosomal RNA". It matches the Rfam family "Bacterial small subunit ribosomal RNA", at positions 1 to 84 of the family's 1533-position model. The record is from RNAcentral. Lineage: Bacteria; Pseudomonadati; Pseudomonadota; Gammaproteobacteria; Alteromonadales; Shewanellaceae.
UUUAAUUGAAGAGUUUGAUCAUGGCUCAGAUUGAACGCUGGCGGCAGGCCUAACACAUGCAAGUCGAGCGGCAGCGCAAGGGAGUU